Molecule: ribosomal RNA, 881 nt
Filed under: Escherichia coli
Lineage: Bacteria; Pseudomonadati; Pseudomonadota; Gammaproteobacteria; Enterobacterales; Enterobacteriaceae
Description: partial 23S ribosomal RNA
Rfam family: Bacterial large subunit ribosomal RNA
Source: RNAcentral
AUAAUGGGUCAGCGACUUAUAUUCUGUAGCAAGGUUAACCGAAUAGGGGAGCCGAAGGGAAACCGAGUCUUAACUGGGCGUUAAGUUGCAGGGUAUAGACCCGAAACCCGGUGAUCUAGCCAUGGGCAGGUUGAAGGUUGGGUAACACUAACUGGAGGACCGAACCGACUAAUGUUGAAAAAUUAGCGGAUGACUUGUGGCUGGGGGUGAAAGGCCAAUCAAACCGGGAGAUAGCUGGUUCUCCCCGAAAGCUAUUUAGGUAGCGCCUCGUGAAUUCAUCUCCGGGGGUAGAGCACUGUUUCGGCAAGGGGGUCAUCCCGACUUACCAACCCGAUGCAAACUGCGAAUACCGGAGAAUGUUAUCACGGGAGACACACGGCGGGUGCUAACGUCCGUCGUGAAGAGGGAAACAACCCAGACCGCCAGCUAAGGUCCCAAAGUCAUGGUUAAGUGGGAAACGAUGUGGGAAGGCCCAGACAGCCAGGAUGUUGGCUUAGAAGCAGCCAUCAUUUAAAGAAAGCGUAAUAGCUCACUGGUCGAGUCGGCCUGCGCGGAAGAUGUAACGGGGCUAAACCAUGCACCGAAGCUGCGGCAGCGACGCUUAUGCGUUGUUGGGUAGGGGAGCGUUCUGUAAGCCUGUGAAGGUGUACUGUGAGGUAUGCUGGAGGUAUCAGAAGUGCGAAUGCUGACAUAAGUAACGAUAAAGCGGGUGAAAAGCCCGCUCGCCGGAAGACCAAGGGUUCCUGUCCAACGUUAAUCGGGGCAGGGUGAGUCGACCCCUAAGGCGAGGCCGAAAGGCGUAGUCGAUGGGAAACAGGUUAAUAUUCCUGUACUUGGUGUUACUGCGAAGGGGGGACGGAGAAGGCUAUGUUGGCCGGGCG